This 354-nucleotide ribosomal RNA is filed under the name Triticum aestivum (bread wheat). RNAcentral describes it as "partial small subunit ribosomal RNA". The record is from RNAcentral. Lineage: Eukaryota; Viridiplantae; Streptophyta; Magnoliopsida; Poales; Poaceae.
AUGUGUGCUAUUUUCCAUUGCAUACCAGAUUGUCGGUUAAAAGAGUUUUUGUCUUCCAGCAAUGAGCUUUCAUUUUCAUUGCAGAGGUUUAUUUGGUUCAUCUCCUUUGGUCAUUUUUUUCAGUUUGUCUCUUCAGAAGUUUGGGUGCCUCUGUUUUGCUACUUUUUAGUUCUCAUCAUUAAAGUUGUAUCUUUCCUCCCCUCUUGGAUUGUUGCAUCCUUAUUGUGUCUCAUCGUUAAGGUGGCACAUAUAAGUAUUAAUUUAUUCAGUUCUGCUAAAGUACCGCUGAAAAUUCAAAUUCUAUGUACUUCACUUUUGGCUAUACACGAGAAUACAGUACACAUAUUUCAGUAG